Molecule: ribosomal RNA, 486 nt
Filed under: uncultured bacterium
Lineage: Bacteria
Description: partial 16S ribosomal RNA
Rfam family: Bacterial small subunit ribosomal RNA
Source: RNAcentral
AUUGAACGCUGGCGGCAUGCCUUACACAUGCAAGUCGAACGGCAGCACGGGUGCUUGCACCUGGUGGCGAGUGGCGAACGGGUGAGUAAUACAUCGGAACAUGUCCUGUAGUGGGGGAUAGCCCGGCGAAAGCCGGAUUAAUACCGCAUACGAUCUACGGAUGAAAGCGGGGGACCUUCGGGCCUCGCGCUAUAGGGUUGGCCGAUGGCUGAUUAGCUAGUUGGGGGGGUAAAGGCCUACCAAGGCGACGAUCAGUAGCUGGUCUGAGAGGACGACCAGCCACACGGGGACUGAGACACGGCCCAGACUCCUACGGGAGGCAGCAGUGGGGAAUUUUGGACAAUGGGCGAAAGCCUGAUCCAGCAAUGCCGCGUGUGUGAAGAAGGCCUUCGGGUUGUAAAGCACUUUUGUCCGGAAAGAAAUCCUUGGCCCUAAUACGGUCGGGGGAUGACGGUACCGGAAGAAUAAGCACCGGCUAACUACGUG